RNAcentral lists this ribosomal RNA (441 nucleotides) under uncultured bacterium. RNAcentral describes it as "partial 16S ribosomal RNA". It matches the Rfam family "Bacterial small subunit ribosomal RNA", at positions 338 to 795 of the family's 1533-position model. The record is from RNAcentral.
CCUACGGGAGGCAGCAGUGGGGAAUAUUGCACAAUGGGGGAAACCCUGAUGCAGCAACGCCGCGUGAGUGAAGAAGGUUUUCGGAUUGUUAAGCCCUGUUAGUAGGGAAGAGGAAGUACGGUACCUGCAGAGGAAGCCACGGCUAAAUACGUGCCAGCAGCCGCGGUAAGACGUAGGUGUCACGCGUUGUUGGGAAUUACUGGGCUUAAAGGAUUCGUAGGGGGUUAAACAAGUUAUAUGGUAAAUAUAUAGGCUUAAACUGUAGAAAGCAGAUAAAACUGUUUAACUAGAGUGCAGGAGAGGUAAGUGGAAUUCGUAGUGUAGCGGUGAAAUGCGUAGAGAUUAGGAAGAACACCAGUGGCGAAGGCGACUUACUGGACUGUAACUGACGCUGAGGCAUGAGAGCAUGGGGAGCAAACAGGAUUAGAUACCCUUGUAGUC